Molecule: RNA transcript, 6426 nt
Organism: Rattus norvegicus (Norway rat)
Lineage: Eukaryota; Metazoa; Chordata; Mammalia; Rodentia; Muridae
Gene: Mks1
Gene name: MKS transition zone complex subunit 1
Source: RefSeq, marked validated
GUUUUAUUUUCGUAGCAUGUCCUUUCAACCAUACUCACCAAUUGUUUAAGCCUGAGUUUUCUUUCUUUAAAAAAGUUUUUUUAUUUAUUUCAUGCAUAAUGGUGUUUUGGCUGAACAUAAUACGUCUGCGCACAGUAUGUCCACUGUAAGGCGACAAGGUGUCUGACCCCUCUGGAACCGGAGUUACAGACAGGUGUGAGUGGCCAUUUGAGCACGCUGGUUCCUCUGGAAGUCUAGUCACUAACCUCUUCACCACUAAGCCAUUUCUACACGCCCCCUAGGCCAAAGUUUUCAAAUGUUCAGUGGAAGGCAGUGUUUGGUCAGAAAGCAAGAACUCUGGUCACCUGGUUCUGGCCGCCAUCACCAUUUUUGCACCUAAAUAAAGUAGCUGAUGGCGGUUUCCUCAUUUGUGCAGUGCAUUAGCUCUCACACAGGACAAGCAAGGCUGCAGACGUCACACAUGCUCACUUGCUGAGGGUCCCUUGCUUCUACAUUAAGGACUGGCUGCCGCAGGCGUGGAGAGCUGCGUGCGCAGAGCCUCCCUUGUCUAAGAAGCCAGCGUCUCCGUUGCCAGGGGAACGGGGCGCGCUUUCCGGCGCGGUCGCCGCGCGAAGCAGCUGUCAUGGCGGAAGCCGUCUGGAGCACUGACACCGGCGAGGCCGUGUAUCGCUCCCGGGACCCCGUGCGCAACCUGCGCCUCCGAGUUCAUCUGCAAAGAAUCACAUCAAGCAACUUCCUUCAUUACCAGCCUGCUGCCCAGAUGGGGAAGGACCUCAUAGACUUGGCCACUUUUAAGCCUCCUCAAGCUGCUAGUGGACACCGCCCUGAUGAAGAAGAGGAGGAAGAAGUUAUAAUUGGGUGGCAGGAGAAGCUGUUUAGCCAGUUUGAAGUUGACCUGUACCAAAAUGAAUCCGCGUGUCAGAGCCCAUUAGAUCAUCAGUACCGCCAAGAGGUCCUGAAGCUGGAGAAUUCUGGUGGCAGGAAAAACCGGCGAAUCUUCACUUACACCGACUCGGAUAGAUACACCGACUUAGAAGAGUACUGUCAGAAGAUAACCACUUCAGCCAGCGAGGCACCAUCGUUUCUGGUUGAGCGGAUGGCGAAUGUCAGGCGGCGGCGCCAGGACAGGCGAGGGGUGGAGGGCAGCAAACUCAAGUCUCGAAUCAUCACAUGGGAGCCCUCAGAAGACUUCAUCAGGAACAGCCAUGCUAUUAACACCCCUCUUCAGACAAUGUAUAUCAUGGCAGACCUGGGGCCGUAUGGGAAGCUUGGCUAUAAGAUACAUGAACAUGUCCUCUGCGUCCUGAAGGUGGAUAGCAAUGGAGUGAUCACAGUGAAGCCCGACUUCACUGGCAUCAAAGGACCCUACAGAAUCGAGACUGAGGGAGAGAAGCAGGAACACACAUCUGCUUGGAAAUACACAAUUGACAACGUGUCCUCCCUCGCACAACCAGAGGAGGAAGAGCGGGAGCAGCGUGUGUUCAAGGACCUUUAUGGCCGCCACAAGGAGUACCUCAGCAGCCUCGUGGGCACAGACUUUGAGAUGAUUGCCCCGGGUGCCCUCCGGCUCUUUGUGAAUGGAGAGGUAGUCUCAGCCCGAGGCUAUGAGCAUGACAACCUCUAUGUCCACUUCUUUGUGGAGCUGCCAGCUACGAACUGGUCCAGCCCAUCAUUCCAGCAGCUCUCGGGAGUAACCCAGACCUGUGUCACCAGAUCCCUGGGAAUGGUAUGGAGGGACAAGGUGGCCUAUUUCUCCUUUCCAUUCACGUUUGAAGCCUUCUUCCUCCAUGAGGAUGAAUCAGAUGAAUCACUCCCAGAGUGGCCCGUGCUCUACUGUAAGGUCCUCUCACUGGACUUCUGGCAGAGGUAUCGUGUGGAAGGCUACGGGGCUGUGGUGCUGCCUGUCACCCCAGGAUCACACACCUUGACUGCCUCCACGUGGAGGCCCAUGGAGCUGGGCCUCGUGGCAGAGCUAAGGAGGUUCUUCAUUGGUGGCUCCCUGGAGCUGGAGGACCCAUCCUAUGUGAGGAUACCAGGAACCUUCAAGGGGGAGCGGCUGAGCCGCUUUGGAUUCCGCACUGAGACGACGGGUACGGUCACCUUCCGGCUGCACUGCCUGCAGCAGUCCCGGGCUUUCAUGGAAUCGAACUCCCUCCGGAAACAAAUGAGGAGUGUGUUGGACCGUCUGGAAGGAUUCAGCCAGCAGAGUUCCACACACAACGUGCUAGAAGCAUUCCGUCGAGCCCGGCGCCGCAUGCAGGAGGCCCGAGAGAGCCUCCCCCAAGACCUUGUGAGCCCCACAGGGACGCUGGCCUAGCUCUCUGCAACCUGACCUGUGCAGCAAGGAAAAGAUGUCUGCAUCCAGCGCUCUCACUUUAUCUUGCUUAUUAGAGACCACACUGGUCUACCAAACUGGAUGAUCUAGAAACUUCCAGCUGGCUCCUCUGCGUAGCCUUCAGCAGGGCUUGCUUUCUUCCAUGUAGAAACAAGGCUGAGACCUGGGACCCCACGUUACAGCCUGUUCUUGUUUUGGCUGUCAAACAUGGGCAUCAUAACAAAGCCGGCUGUGUAGUCUGCAGCUCCAUAUGGGGUAAACCCAGCAUUAGCCUGUCCUCAAUACAGUGUCUUUCCUGGUUUGUCAUGGAGCCUCCGAGGCAGAGAGCUCUAAAAUGGAGUUUGGCAGCCAGGAGUAACGGUGCACACCUUUCAUCCCAGUACUCAGGAGGCAGAGGCAGGAGGAUAUCUAUGAAUCAGAGCUCAGCCUGGUCUACAUAUUGAGUUCCAGGACAGCCAGAGCUACAUAGUGAGACCUGAUCUCAAAACAAAAAAACAAAAGCAAAACAACAGCAGCAGCAACAAGAUGGAGUUUGGCAUAUUCCAAGGAGGAAGAUGCAUUCGAGAGCUCAGUCUCCUGCUUCUUCCAAGGAAAGUGUUUCUUAAUUAAAACUCCAGAAGAGACCAUGUGGCGAGUCCCAGGCUGCAUUUUAGCAGCCCUCGUCUUUACUAUGCGGGGCAAAGCUUUGGACCAAGGUUACCUUCUCCCCAGCCCAACAGAGAGACAGCAGGCCCUGCCCUUGCAUUGUUUUAUUGGUAGAAGAAGUAUCAGUGCUGCUGUUCCUGCGGGCCCCGAGGAAGAUGGGAUAGCUGAGAGCCAGGACUGUGGCCUUCCAGUCAUGCUGGGGGGCAGGGGCAGAAGAAGGUGCUGGAAGCCCUCCCGCAGUGUCUUGCUGAGACCUCAAAGUCUUAUGGCCCGGCUCAUAGGCUCCUAUAUCUGGUGCUGAUUCAUAGCCUGAUAUCUAAGAGGUUCCCAAGGUAAGUGGGCCUGUUGCCAUAGCACCCUUGAUACUCUCAACCAGCAAAGCCAGCUCUCAGUGUAACCAGCAAAAGCUCCAGCAGGAAACAGUGGUUUGCGGGGGAGAGAGCAGCCUCAUGAUCUCCCCGUUGCCCUCAUCUCCAAGGCUUGGGGUCCUGGCGUAGAAUCCUGUGGGAAUAGCAGAAAUAAAUAGAUGAGGAAUUUGUUGGAUAUCCAAAGAGCUGUUUUAGGAGUUGUGACAAAACUGAAGUCAGUUAAAUACUUCUGAUUGUCCCUCUCCUCACCCCACCAAGUCCUAGACCCCAGAACUGACUGUCAGCCCAGAAGCUAGCAUUCUUGGAAGCCACUAGGAAAGAGUACUGUGUUCCUAUCGAUGAAGUGUAUUGUCACUGUUUAGUGGAUGGGAUGUCUUAUUCCACGGAGAGGUGCUAGGGCCUGACCCGUUCCAGAUCUCCCCUUACCUGCAGAAGCCUCAUUUGCCUCGCCAGGCUGACAGGUUCAACUUGGGAAUACGGCUACAGCUCACAAAACCCUGUGGGUAGAUGUUAGCCCUGAAGAUGUCCCUCGAAACGGUGCUGAUGCCAGUAUUGUCGCACACAAUCCGAGAUAAAGAAAUUCGCCUCAGGGCUUUGCGUUGUCUUUUGGUGAAAACGCCCCAUUUCUGCCACCAGAAUCUGUCGGUCAAAGAGAACUGUGAGAAGGUUGGGGAGUCACUGUGCAGUGAGCACCUCGCGUGUGCCUGACACUCAGGUACUCCAUUUCAUCCACUUUCCAUAAUCCUGCCACUUCCGUAAGUGAACUGCCCAGAAGUAAGAAUACAGCAGUCUAAGCAGUCAGGAAUGGACUUGAACUCAUGCAUAGGCCACAUCCAAAUAAGGAGUCAGGUCUUAAGCCACAAGCUCACUAGAGGGAAAUCAGGUUUAGCUCUUUCUGCCCACAUCUUCUGGGAUCCACUAGCAUAGAACAUCGAGGCUGUCUAGUCGCUGUUCUGGCCUAUGGAAGCUCCAAUCUUGUCUGGGGCAGCAUUUCUUUUCCUCAGCCCCACUUUGCCCGGAGAAGCCUCCUGGUCUCAGAUCCUGAGACCUUUGGAGAAAUGAAGCUUGAAAGGGUGCUUUCUCCAUUGUCCAGCCUCUCAGUGCUGUAUCUGUCCAGUGCUGGGUUAUUUUAGCCUUUGGGCCACUUACCUGUCUCCGUCUCGGGCUCUUCUGAACUGGUUCUCAAAAAGACAAGCCAGAAGAGGCCCCACUCGGGCCCCCGGCAGAAGAGGCUCUGCUAUGGCUCCCACCCAGAUGUCAAUGUUGUCGGGCGUCUUGUACAGGUUCAGAAACUUCCUUGCCAAAUUCCGAUUUUUUAGCACCCGACUAAGCUGGGCUAAGUUUCGGGGCUGGGAAAGGCCACAGAAGCGCCUCCAGGCAUUGUAUCCUGUAAGGGGAGCCCAGUCAGAGCCACACCGUCAGUCUCUCAUUAGUUUCUGCUGCUCCCCACAGAUCCUCCAAAGUAUAUUUGUGGUUGGUACUGGAUGGAACCAGAAGAUCCCGGAGGUCUAAACACUAGAUCACUGCCCUCUCUAGACUGUAGGUGGACAGUCUUGUUUCGUGUGUGCUGGGCUGAGCAGUGUGUCCUGAUGUACAAAGCCCACAGAUGCAAAUUUGGUCUUGUGCAUGUGUUCACAUGUUGUGGGGGUGUGCAUGCAUCCAGAGGUUAAAGGUGAGCAUUAGGUGUCAUUUGUUAGACACUGUCUUUUUUUUUUUUUUUAAUUUGCCUGGAGCUCAUCAACUAACCUAGACUGGCCAGCCAGAGAACCCCAGGCUUCUGCCUGUCUCUGCCUCCCAAGCACUUGGGAUUACAAAAAUAUGCCACCCAUGCCUGGCAUUUUCUUUUAAAAAAGUGGUUUAUGGGGAAUGAACUCAGAUCCUCAUGCUUGCUGGGCAAGCAAGCCUUUUACUAACCCUGACCCCCACAGAUCUGACAUUUAAUAUCAUGAUUGAUCUACACACAUUUUAUAGGCACACUAUUCGGAACGUUCCUAAAAAUAAGGUUUGAAGAGUACGUGAAGGGAUGAUUAAAUGAGAAAACAAACAACAGUUUCCAGACAUCUAAACUGUGUCAGGUUUUAUUAUCACUAAGUGUUAUGUACCUCUUAAGACAGCACGGUACCUUUGUGAAGUACCCUGCAGUACGUGUACUUAAGUCUACACAGUCAUAGGCUGUUCAGGGUCUACUAACUGGAGUUCAAAGCUGGCAGUACAAUUCUAGACUUGCUGUUGUCUGGGGAAGGGACUAGAGGAGACUGCAAAAGCCAUUUCAGGAUGGUAUUUCUGAAAUGGCUUGUAGGGAACAGCUGUUUAUAGGGAACAGAAAGUUACACUGUGAUAAUCUGAGUGGCUAGCAACACCAGCCUUCCAGCAGGGGGCGCCAACAGCUCCUUAGCUGUCAGGAGCAUUAAGUUAAGACUGCCAGGGAAAUCACUCUGCUUGCCACACAAGUAUAAGGACUUCCCGAAUUGAAUCUCCAGAACUCAGGUUUAAAUAUAUAUUAUAGGCAAGGUCAUGCACACUUCUAGUUCUAGUGCUGGAGAGACAGAGGUAGGCAGAUUUGGGGUGCACUGACCACUCAACUCAGCCUGCAUGGUGAGCUCUAGGCCAGUGAGAGACACUGCCUCAAAAAUACAAGGCAGAGCUGAGUGGUGGUGGCACACCUUUAAUCCCAACACUCGGUGGGAGAGUGGGGCAGAGGGAGGCAGAUCUCUGAGCCAGCCUGGUCUACAGAGUUAGUUCCAGGACUAUACAGAGAGAUCAUGUCUUGAAAAAAAAAAGAAACAAACAAACAAAUGCAUACAUACAUGCAUGCAUGCAUACAUACAUACAUACAUACAUACAUACAUACAUACAUGGUAGAGGGCAGCUGAGGAAUAACACCUGAGAUUGGCUUCUAACUUCCAUGUGGGUCCCACAGACAUGCACAGAGAGAGCGGAGAGAGAAGGAAGAAGAAAAAGAAACCGGGGUUGGGGAUUUAGCUCAGUGGUAGAGCACUUGCCUAGGAAGAGCAAGGCCCUGGGUUCGGUCCCCAGCUCCGAAAAAAAAGAACCAAAAAAAAAAAAAAAAAAAAGAAA